UACGGAGGAUGCAAGCGUUAUCCGGAAUGAUUGGGCGUAAAGCGUCCGCAGGUGGCUAUGUAAGUCUGCUGUUAAAGAGUGAGGCUCAACCUCAUAAGAGCAGUGGAAACUACAUGGCUAGAGUGCGUUCGGGGCAGAGGGAAUUCCUGGUGUAGCGGUGAAAUGCGUAGAGAUCAGGAAGAACACCAGCGGCGAAGGCGCUGCUCUGGGCCGGUACUGACGCUGAGGAGCGAAAGCGUGGGGAGCGAACAGG
Molecule: ribosomal RNA, 253 nt
Filed under: uncultured bacterium
Lineage: Bacteria
Description: partial 16S ribosomal RNA
Rfam family: Bacterial small subunit ribosomal RNA
Source: RNAcentral